AAGCAAACUCAAGAGCUUUCACUCCACACUUGCCCAUACGUUUUUGCCUCCAAGCUUCCAAGCUUUCAAGUGCUCAAGUGUCCUAGCUUUCCAAAGCUUCAAAAGCUCUCCAACUUCUUCUUCUAAUCUUCUUGUUCAUCUUUACAAGUAAGAAGUGUUGUUUGCUUUAAUAUUCCACUCCUCUAAUCACCUCUUGUGUGUGUCCACUUUGGUUGAGAGGGUUGUCUCAAUAGUACCAAAGUGUGAGAGAAGGUUUUCAAACUCAACCAUAAAGAUCUAGUUUGGUUUUAUAGAGUUUCCGGGAAAACUCUUAGGUCGAAUCUACCUUGAAAGAUUUCUAGGUUUUUAAAAGUUCCUUGAUACUCUAAGGUACUAACUUACCCGUAAAAGUUAGAGGUUCUUAAGAGUGCCCUUGAUACUCUAAGGUGUGAGUCUACCCGUAAAAGACUGGUUCUUAAGCGAAGUUAGCCUUAAAGCUUAGAGAGGUUUUUAAGAGUUCCUUGAUACUCUAAGGUACUAACUUACCCGCAAAAGUUAGAGGUUCUUAAGAGUGCCCUUGAUACUCUAAGAUGUGAGUCUACCCGUAAAAGACUGGUUCCUAAGCGAAGUAGCCUUAACGCUUAGAGAGGUUUUUAAGAGUUUUCUUGAUACUCUAAGGUUUUGUCAUAACCUUUAGGCGAGUGAAUUCCGACAGUUGGUCGGGACUGGAUUAGCCCUUGUUUGGGUGAACCAGUAUAAAUUCUCUUGUAUUGUUCUUUGUUAACUUUAGUUUUUAUAUUUCAUCUAAAAACAACUAAACAACACUUAAUUGAAAAGGAUCCCUCUUCCAGUUAUCUGGUCAAAUACAAAGGUUGACUACUUUACGCAGAUCCCUCAUCCAGUUAUCUGGUCAACUAUCUGAGGUUAUAUUCAUUGUUUUAAAUCUUUACUCAGAUAUUUGUUCAAGCAUUUACUUAUCAAAUAUAUAUCCAGUUAUCUGGUCAUUUACUUUAUAAUAUAACUUGUGUUUAUAAUAUAACUUAGUAUUCAUAUACUAUAGUUGUUUAUAAAACACCAUCUGAAAAGUUGACUCUGUACUUAUAUACGGUAGUAAACUUCAAGAGAAAAAGGCAAGUCCAAUAUACAAUAUUAUAAGAUAUAAUAUUAUAUUCUUUAAAAUCAUAUAAUAGUAUUAUAUUGCUAACAAUAUUAUACUAUUAUUAUUAUACAACCAUUUGUGUACUUAAGUGUGUGCAGGUAAUUCCGUUAUCAAUCUGCAUAAAUCGAAAAGAGACUAUUAUCCCCCUUAUAGCCUCGGAUCACGAUCCAACACUAAUUACCUUUUUAGAGGAUUUGAUUAUUGUGUGAUUUAGUUUUGAAAGUUAAUACAUUGGUAUUCAUUUUUUAAUCAUUCUUGCUUUCAUUUUCGGAUUUCUUUAAGUUCCGAAGUUGAUCUCUGAUUGUUUGUGAGUUAACAGAUUUACGUGGAGAGAGAUGUAACUCCAACACCUUCCAACAAAUAAAGUCAUCUUGUGAUUUUACACUAAGGAAAACAUUUGAGGACCAACAGCUGACUGAAUCCAACCUAUUACGACCAAAUUCUUUUGUUGCCAAAUCUUGAAUUCUGGAUUGGGGGAACCAUCAGUAUAACAGUAUUUUUCUCUGGUGGGAUCGUCUGAGGUUCUGUAAUCAUCUUCAAUAGAUCAUGAAUCUCAAGAAGAUUCUCCAUUUGUGCCUUCCAGAAAAGAUAUGUGUCACUGCGUUCAAGAGGAACGCGUAUCCAUUGAGAUACUUGCCAUCUGAAUAAGUAGUCUAGAAAGGGCGUGCCAGAUUGCAGACGUAGAAAAAUCGUCAGAUUCAAGAAGCCGUGCCAGAGAACGCAAGAAGUUACAAAGAGCGCAGAAGGUUAACUUUGAACAAAAUUCCAUUCACUUUGGAGAAAAAUCAAACGUGAUUUGGGGAAAAAUUUCGAGGAAAAAAUUGUAAUUUGCUAAUCACCCAAAAAGUUGAUUACAAAUGAUAUCAUGCAUGCAUGCCAGAUAAUAUCAAGGAAGGACAAUUAACAAAUGAAUACCAAUGUAUUAACUUUCAAAACUGAAUCACACAAUAAUCCAAUCCUCUA
RNAcentral lists this long non-coding RNA (2101 nucleotides) under Zostera marina. Its description in RNAcentral is "long non-coding RNA (ZMAR_LNC000586)". Lineage: Eukaryota; Viridiplantae; Streptophyta; Magnoliopsida; Alismatales; Zosteraceae. The record is from RNAcentral.